This is a non-coding RNA of Glycine soja, 124 nucleotides long. The record is from Rfam. Lineage: Eukaryota; Viridiplantae; Streptophyta; Magnoliopsida; Fabales; Fabaceae.
UUCUUAUUGGAUGAUGACUAUCACUUGCCAUGUUCUGAUUGGAUGUCAACUCUAUGGAAGAUGAAAUGCAUUAAUUAUUGUUUUCAUUGACCAAUCAAAACAUGAUACAUGACAGUUAUUAUCC